GCUCCAAGGUCCCUCUGCCCUGUUGGAGAGAGGACUCUGGAUCCUGUCUUAGGGGAAGGGAGGUUCGGCAAUAGUGCGGCUCCCAGGGAAGCAGAGGACAGCCACUGUUGGUCCAGUUUUCAACUGGGGAAAGUCACCAGCUCAGACGCCUCGCACUGGACACAGGAGGUUGACGGGCUGCCUUGGGAGCUGGGGAGGCAUGCUGGCCCAUCUGAGCAGGGCUCCCACUUACCUCCAGCACACGGCCACCACGUGCAGCCACCUGCACGGUGUGACCGUCCGUUCUGACUGUCCAGGCUUUCCUGUGGACUCUUCUGUUUCUCUAAAGUUGGCCGAAACAGAAGUUGAGAAAGCAGCAGCCGCAGCCCCCAGUUUGCCACCUACACUUCCGUCUUUCUUGUCGCCUCAGGGUGGAGCAGGUUCCGUGAUCCUGCUGUCACCAUGGAGGAGGUCCUGCAUCCGAGAGUCUGUUGUGUGUCCGCUUUGCACCAGGCCCUGUUGGGGCUGCAGAGGACACAGCAAGAAACAGACUAGAUAAGCAUCUUCACUUCCUGGAGUCUACAUUCUAGCUGGGGAGACGGGGGCCAAUCUUAUAAAUAAAUACUAUACAAGUUGGACUGUGA
Molecule: non-coding RNA, 623 nt
Organism: Peromyscus maniculatus bairdii (prairie deer mouse)
Lineage: Eukaryota; Metazoa; Chordata; Mammalia; Rodentia; Cricetidae
Source: RefSeq, a predicted model, not a curated record